GACGAACGCUGGCGGCGUGCCUAAUACAUGCAAGUAGAACGCACAGUUUAUACCGUAGCUUGCUACACCAUAGACUGUGAGUUGCGAACGGGUGAGUAACGCGUAGGUAACCUGCCUGGUAGCGGGGGGUAACUAUUGGAAACGAUAGCUAAUACCGCAUAAUAUUGAUUAUUGCAUGAUAAUUGAUUGAAAGAUGCUAUUGCAUCACUACCAGAUGGACCUGCGUUGUAUUAGCUAGUAGGUGAGGUAACGGCUCACCUAGGCGACGAUACAUAGCCGACCUGAGAGGGUGAUCGGCCACACUGGGACUGAGACACGGCCCAGACUCCUACGGGAGGCAGCAGUAGGGAAUCUUCGGCAAUAGACGAAAGUCUGACCGAGCAACGCCGCGUGAGUGAAGAAGGUUUUCGGAUCGUAAAGCUCUGUUGUAAGAGAAGAACGGGUGUGAGGGUGGAAAGUUCACACUGUGACGGUAUCUUACCAGAAAGGGACGGCUAACUACGUG
Molecule: ribosomal RNA, 505 nt
Filed under: uncultured bacterium
Lineage: Bacteria
Description: partial 16S ribosomal RNA
Rfam family: Bacterial small subunit ribosomal RNA
Source: RNAcentral